CCCCUUAACCGGGGGAACCUGCCAUCUGGGGAAGGGGUUGGGGGGAAGGAGGGGAAAAAUUGGAACAAAAGGUUUGGCCAUUGUCAAUGCUAAAAAAUUACCCAUGUAUAUAACUUGUAAAUAAGAAGCUAUAAUAUAAAUAAAUAAAUAGAAAAUGAUUAAAAGUUUUUAAAAUAUAUGUUAAAAUAUUAGUUAAAUACAAUACAAGUAACAUGUCCACACAGUUAUUUUGCUGUACAAAAAGAAUCGGACUCUGAAAUAGUGUACAAUUAAUCUGUGAAGGAAAUAAAAAAUGUAGGCGGACAAAAACAGAGGGAUUGGGAGUUGUAUGUAAUGGUUCUUAGUCAUCUCCCAGAGCUCUUUCGCUGGGCGUAGCUGGUUCAGUUACUGCUCUAUUGGAACUGAUCUGAUACAUCUCAUUGCUGGAGAUGGCCGCGUCCAUCAGAAUACAUCAGUUCAUAAUGGAAGAGAAACUGAAACUGCAAUGAACUUUUUUUUUUUUCAUCUCUACUGAUCAAUAAACAGAACCACAGGACGUGCAAAUCAACUCGUCAUGAGAAAUCUAGGUAGGCUAAAUAGGAUGAGAAUGUUUGUUCCUACCAAAGAUAUCUGGAGGAAGAAUGGAGGAUUGGCAUUGAGAAAAAAUGCAGACAGCUAAGUGGGUACUGUCUGAAAGUUGGCAUUCAUCCCCGGCAUUAAAAAUAUCAAAAUAAGAAAUACAGUGUUUUAAAAAAAAAAAAAAAAACAAAGAAAACACUGCUUCCAAAAAACUCUGAUUGUCUUGGCACAAGCCCUGUGGGCAAAAAAACAACAACACAUCACUUCCAAGAACUAUUACAGAAAAAAGAAAGAUCUCAACACGCCCAUGGAAUUCAGCUAACAAUGGUUCAAGUAUAAAAGAUGUACUGAAAGUUCA
This is a long non-coding RNA of Antechinus flavipes (yellow-footed antechinus), 916 nucleotides long. RefSeq lists it as uncharacterized. NCBI's taxonomy places the organism in Eukaryota, Metazoa, Chordata, Mammalia, Dasyuromorphia, Dasyuridae. The record is from RefSeq and is a predicted model, not a curated record. The transcript has 2 exons.